GACGAACGCUGGCGGCGUGCUUAACACAUGCAAGUCGAACGGUAAGGCCCUUCGGGGUACACGAGUGGCGAACGGGUGAGUAACACGUGGGUGAUCUGCCCUGCACUUCGGGAUAAGCCUGGGAAACUGGGUCUAAUACCGGAUAGGACCACUGCCUGCAUGGGUGGUGGUGGAAAGCUUUUGCGGUGUGGGAUGGGCCCGCGGCCUAUCAGCUUGUUGGUGGGGUGAUGGCCUACCAAGGCGACGACGGGUAGCCGGCCUGAGAGGGUGACAGGCGAAACUGGGACUGGGAUACGGCCCAGACUCCUACGGGAGGCAGCAGUGGGGAAUAUUGGACAAUGGGCGCAAGCCUGAUGCAGCGACGCCGCGUGCGGGAUGAAGGCCUUCGGGUUGUAAACCGCUUUCAGCAGGGACGAAAUUGACGGUACCUGCAGAAGAAGCCCCGGCCAACUACGUGCCAGCAGCCGCGGUAA
RNAcentral lists this ribosomal RNA (473 nucleotides) under uncultured bacterium. RNAcentral's name for it is "partial 16S ribosomal RNA". It matches the Rfam family "Bacterial small subunit ribosomal RNA", at positions 28 to 523 of the family's 1533-position model. The record is from RNAcentral.